This 429-nucleotide ribosomal RNA is filed under the name Gemmatimonadota bacterium. RNAcentral describes it as "Gemmatimonadetes bacterium partial 16S ribosomal RNA". It matches the Rfam family "Bacterial small subunit ribosomal RNA", at positions 355 to 776 of the family's 1533-position model. The record is from RNAcentral. Lineage: Bacteria; Pseudomonadati; Gemmatimonadota.
UAGGGAAUCUUCGGCAAUGGACGAAAGUCUGACCGAGCAACGCCGCGCGGGUGAAGAAGGUUUUCGGAUCGUAAAACUCUGUUGUUAGAGAAGAACAAGGACGUUAGUAACUGAACGUCCCCUGACGGUAUCUAACCAGAAAGCCACGGCUAACUACGUGCCAGCAGCCGCGGUAAUACGUAGGUGGCAAGCGUUGUCCGGAUUUAUUGGGCGUAAAGCGAGCGCAGGCGGUUACUUAAGUCUGAUGUGAAAGCCCCCGGCUCAACCGGGGAGGGUCAUUGGAAGCUGGGAGACUUGAGUGCAGAAGAGGAGAGUGGAAUUCCAUGUGUAGCGGUGAAAUGCGUAGAUAUAUGGAGGAACACCAGUGGCGAAGGCGGCUCUCUGGUCUGUAACUGACGCUGAGGCUCGAAGGCGUGGGGAGCAAACAGG